Prinia subflava (tawny-flanked prinia) is the source of this 5079-nucleotide long non-coding RNA. RefSeq lists it as uncharacterized. The transcript is spliced from 6 exons. Lineage: Eukaryota; Metazoa; Chordata; Aves; Passeriformes; Cisticolidae. The record is from RefSeq and is a predicted model, not a curated record.
UGGAACCACUAAAAGUGAACAACAGACAGCAGUGCUUGAAAUCUCCCUGGUAAAGAAAGUGCAAAGCUUCACUUAGAAGUUCAAUGGGAAAGAGUCAAAGUAGGAUGAUAAGUAUGAAUGAUGAUUCAACUGAUGAUGGAUUGGCCCACGCUGUGAAAAUUAAGGGUGUUCAGCCCAGUUACUUUAAAGGUUUGGGUGUUAAGACUGGAGGUCUAGUACAGAACACUCUGCUCUUCAUUGAUCAUAAGUGAUGGAAAGUAAACAUCUUUGCACAGUGGGUGGAUAAAAUGUGAGACAGCAAGGUUUGAGCUGCAAAAUCCAUAAAGCAAAAACACAAAACCCCAGAGCUUGGGCUGACAAAAUUGGAAUCCACAGUCUCAUAAAGCUGGUGGGACAGGAAAUCAGAGGAGCAUCAAGACCUCCUUUUUGCAUUGGAAGUAAAGUCCCAAGCCUGGAACCUCUCUUGCACAGGAGCCCAUGUUAUAUCCUGCAAAGACAAAGACACCUGAAGACACCUGUUCUGAUUUACAAUGUAUUUGCUGUGACCCAUGGGACCUGGACUUGACUGCAGUCUGCUGAGGACCAGCAGCACAACAGGAGGCUGGCAACGGGCUUGGAAAGGAUUUGAUAGUGAAGCGGGAACCAUCCACAAACUCAUCACCGACUGACGGGAAGAGAAGCAGGGGGCAGAGUUGCCAGUGGAUGUAGCCACCCUGUGUCCUCCCUGUUCUUUACCAGCUGUACACAAACACCUGCAGAAUCAGUGAUUCACCUGGUCUCCUCACCUGGCCAGUGGCAUUUUACAGGCUUUUCUGUCAGUGUACACAAGCAAAACCUCUUCCUGCUGCUUCUUUGCUCCCCGAGGGGAGAAAAACGAACAGUUGUAGUGGAUGAUUUUAAAUCGCUAAGUCAGUGAUGAAGAAUUUUGGCCCGAACCUUUGCUUCAAAGGUUGAUGUCAUGAGCAACAAGCAAAACACCCUUUCCGAAAUGAUGAACAGAGGCAGGAAACAGCGAAUAUGGCUCGGCUCUUGGCAGGCAGAUGGCGCCAGAUGUGCGUUCGGAGUGGCAGAAAGCCUCUUCUGCCGCCUGGGUCGGGGCAGCGCAGUUUCCCCAGUGGCUGAAGAAUCAGUCCUCGAGCUUUUUGCUACACACAGUGUCACUGUGAAGAACCAAGCAAGCAGUGCAGGCAUCGCAGUCCCUUCCAAGGCAAAGCCAAGGCCCAAAGUCACAUCAAGGACAGUAUGGAGGAGACAGAGGAAGAAAACGUGGUGUUGGAAAAAGCCAGUAACUGCAUUACAACCAAAACCUUGGUUUGGCAUCUUGAAAUGGGAGCAGCUCUGUAUUCACAUCUGCAAGCUGUGGACUCUCCUGCUGUCACAGAGCCUUCAGAACUACUGAAGGUGCUGGAUUUUUCAGCUCCAGCCUUGGCUUAGCCUGGCAGGGAACCAGACCAUGGAGAUGUUCUGUCAGGAUACACAUUACAGACAUGAGCUGAGGACACCAGAAAGUAGAAAAAAUGCACUGACAUCCCUGCCUCUAGUACCACUUACAAAUACUCCUUCUGAACCCAAGCCACGAGUGAAGCUGGUAUGGGAGAAGCAGUGUUGUAAGAGGAAGGAAUUCUAGCAAUGUCACUUCAGCUGCCCAGGUUUGAUCUGACUGUGAGGCUGAAGAGCCACAUGGUGGUUUGUGCUGGGACAGCACCAUGCCUUCACACAUCUUUCUGUGAGCUUCUGUGUUGUGUCCUGUCAGAGCAGAAAUCCUGCAAUUAGUGUUUUCUUGGACAUCUGAUGAAAUACUGCUUCAGGGUUUGGGAGCAUGGAGCUGUCCUUUAGUCUUUGUCACAAGCUGUCACUUUGGUUUAAAAGUUGACUAUUGGAGAAAACUCAUGCAGAGCUACAGGUUCAUGAAGUCCUGCAUAACUUUUCAGUGUUUUUAUGGCAAGCCUUUUUAUAGGCCUCCCUGUCAGGACCGAGGGACUUCUGUAUGCACAGGUUUGUCAGCAGCACAACCCAGUCCUUCACAGGGGGAACAUCAGUGCUCAACAAACCAUAAAACAUUGGGGACGGUCUGUGUUUCACCAUGAGAAGUAGAAUUUUUCAAGCAUGCAACUCCAGUUCACUUUAGGGGAAGAUAAAUAAUUCUUGAUUCAACCCUGAGUGAUCUAGAGUUGUAAAGGUAUCUCUCAGUUUAAAUUGUAUGAAUUGAUCUGUAUCCCACCAGCUGUUUUCCCUCCACUUUCAAGAUGAUCAAACUAAUGAACUGUACCAUGAGGUUACAUGGAAUCACCCAGGCCACACCAGCUGUGUGCACUUUGCUGGGGACAAAGCCUGCCAUUGCCUUUGCAGAUUGAAGAAAUCUCCAGCACUGGUGUCCUGGAAACAUUUUUCUAUCAGGCUGACUCUGUACAAGUAGCUCCUGUAGCCACAGACAUCCCUGUUGUGCUCAGAGAUGGAGUUUGUUUCUGCUGCUGCCCAAGCCAGGAAGCAGAACUUUAUAGUUGCAGUUGUCUUGGCCAGUGGUCCCCACCACCAGCAGCAGUGGCAAAAAGAGGGAGGACAAGAACCAUUCCCAGUCCUGAUGCACAGCAACAAGUGAUUUGUUUCUGACCUAUACCACAUUAUCCUCUAGAAGAGUUGCAGAAAUGUCCUUUACAACAUUAACAUGCAAGCUGCAAGUGCAGUGUAGAGAAAACUCCAUCACCUUGGGGUACUGACAGGAGGUACUCUCCUGCUGAUGGAGAUUACACACAAUUUAUGCAUCAGUACCAGGGUUAGGAAGGUUGAGGCUUUUUUCUUUAAAAAAAAAACCAACCCAGAUGCUUCCAAUGAUAGAACCCUUUAUCCAAAAAAGACCACCAGAGCAAUCCAAAAUGUUUGCCCUCAAGGGAAGAAAAACUCCCUGGUCAGAAAAUAUUUUCCUACUUCUUCAUUGUGUUUCCCAACUCCCUCCUUCAUGUUAUCUGAGCCAAGCCUGGAAGCAGCAUGGCUCAGAACCAAGGAAUAAGGAUGGUACUGCUGGGGCUUUGCUUUUUCUGUUCAGUGUGGAGGGAAAGGGUGAAGGAGUUAUUACUCCAGACACUCCCCAUGCUACCUUGUUUUUCAUGUCAUAUUUGAACAGGCAAAUCCCCAUAACAGCACUGACACAACAGUGUCUGUCCCCUCAGCAAUCUGGUGACAUCAUUUCCAUUGCCAAAGGGUCUGUGCCAGCCAAGUGGAGGCAGGCUGGCUUGAGUCCUUAGAGAGACUCUUAUUACUGUAAUGAUCUGCUGGGGUGACAGACCUAUGUACUUGUUAUCCUUUCAGAGAAUGCUUUUCCAAAACUAACAGCCUCAUUUUUUUCAUCAGAAGAUAAUUACACAGUACAAAUUGGCCCUUGGGUUGCUCAGGGUAGAAGAAAUCAAGGAAGGAAGUACUUUCCUAAAUAUACAGUGACUUUAGAAGUGAAAUAUUUUUGCCCCAGAAAAGGACAGAGGGAGAGAGCCAAACAGAAUAAACUAGUGCUUAAAUGGCUCAUUAAUUCUUAGCUUCCCCUGACCACACAGUAAUCUGCAGCUUGCUGAAGGAGUCCCAACAACAUGACCAUAAACCACAGCUCAGAAGCAGAAGACAGCUAGGAGACGUAUUAUGUUGUCCUGCAAUGUGAUGAGAGUACUGACAUGUGGUAUGUCAGUACAGAGAAGGUCUACAGCAAUAAAUACCCUGUCACAGGCCUGCCCCCAGGGAGGAAAUACUUAUUCUGAGUCAUUGUCUGCAAUGACAGUGGGGACACUGACCCUCUGGAUUCACAGGAGCAAUGGAACAUCUCCAAACACAGACAUAAGCACAAGACUCUGGGCUAAGCUCCCUGUGUGGCCUUGUAUAUGUCACUCGCCUGCUUUGCACCUCAGGUGCUCACCUGGGGAUUAGAUACAAGAAUACCUCCUCUUCUAUCCCUUCCAUUUGUUGGCAAUCUCUUUAGGAUCAGGCUUCCUUUUACUACAUGUGUAUGGAGCCCAUUACAUAGUGCUUUAUACAGAUGCUGUUCAAAUUAAAAUUCAGGGCAUCCGUGUGCUCAGAGGGUGAUAUUAUCAUGUCUGGACAUAACAGGAGAUUGGUGUUACAAGCCAUUUGUCUUGUAGCACAUUUUCAGUCUGACUGGGAUUUGUUCCCUAAAGGAGAAGCAAGGAAAUCUGUGACAUGUAGGAGACGGUUUGACAGUCUUUCUGGACCAGAAAUCCCUGAAAGCACAUUAAAUUAAACAUUUAGAGGUCAUUCUGUCAGGUAAAUGCCUUUGUCUUUGUUCAGUUGCUCCCUACACAUGCCCAAUCAUUACACGGAUGUCUAAUCAGCAGUGUUCCCAAACAUAACUGAACAUGGCCCAGCUCGUCAAGUCAAAGCAGUGAGUGAUCCUUCUGCCCAGUCUGGGGAAUUGCAGAAUGCAGUGACUCUAAAUGGUGAGAUCAAAGACAAUUUUUUUUUGGAUUGGCCUGUGCCUGGUGUAAUAGAACAUAUAGUAAUAUAAAAAUUAUAUAUUAAUACAUAUUACUAUAUCAGACAUCUGUUUCUUCAGCAGCCUAUCCACAUGCUGCUAUGAGUCUUCUAAUCCCAUUAAGAGUAAUGGGCAACACAUUAAAGUGACAGAAGGAGUGGUACACUAGAAGGAGUAAAGAGGUCUCAAACUGUAUAUUUGUAUUUACCAAUCAGCCUUUCCUGAUGGAUUAGACCAUAAAUAUGUUAUUUUGGCAGCUGAGAAAGAGCACUUCCAGUUACUGUGGCUGUAGUUGUGUUCUUGUGUGGAAGUGCUCUAGGCCUGGAUUCUACAGAGCCUGAAAUGACUUCAGCAACUCCUGUGCAUGUAGGCAAGGAGAGCUGUAAAUGGAGGAAAGUUAGCUUGGCUGUGCCUUGCACUCCAUUCCCUUGAUAACAGCCUACCUGUCUUCAGGCAGCACCAGAAGGACACAGAUGUGAACUGAUUUCUUAUUCUUCAUAUAAAUGGCAAGUCACAAGGUUUAUUUGCAUAAACCUGAGACAUGGUAGAAAAACUCUGAAGGAGAAUAAGGAGAUAAGCUCUUUUCCAAGAAUGGGGUCUCAUGAAAG